AAGCGCUUGCAACCAGACUUGCGCGCGACGGUUCCCCCUUCCUUCUGGUUGGGCUACUCCGUCGUGUCCAGGCCAACAUCGGUUCUGGGGGGUGCAUAAAGGCCGCAGGAACGUAUCUCUUCGGAGUGUUAUAGCCUGUGGUGUAAUACACCUUCUGGGACCGAGGACCGCGCUCUGCAAGGAUGCUGGCGUAAUGGUCAUCAGCGA
RNAcentral lists this ribosomal RNA (207 nucleotides) under Chaetothyriales sp. Its description in RNAcentral is "partial large subunit ribosomal RNA". The record is from RNAcentral. Lineage: Eukaryota; Fungi; Ascomycota; Eurotiomycetes; Chaetothyriales.